This 654-nucleotide long non-coding RNA is filed under the name Mus caroli (Ryukyu mouse). RNAcentral's name for it is "lncRNA (MGP_CAROLIEiJ_G0005642.1)". Lineage: Eukaryota; Metazoa; Chordata; Mammalia; Rodentia; Muridae. The record is from RNAcentral.
ACUGGGCAAGCUCUGUUACCGCAUGGGAACAGUGGGUGCCGGAGUAGUCAGGAAAGCAGGAGCUCACCCAAGCCCUUCCCUGUCUGCAAAGCCAACCUCCUCCAAUCAUCAAAACACCUAACCCAUUGUAUAAAAAGUAUUGCCUGAUGCUACUUUGCAAUUAGAAAUGGAUGUAAAUGAAAGGAAAUGCAAUGUGAUUUCGUCAUUAGACGCUGUCUUAGUUACUAUUCCUGGCUGUGAAGAGACACCAUGACCAAGGCAACGUAUAAAGGAAAGCAUCCAGUCGGUAGCACUGGAGGAGUGGCUUAGAUCUCAUAGCCUCAUCCACAAGCAGGAGGCGGACGGAGAGAGCAAGACUGGACCUAGCAUGGGCUUUUGAAACCCCAAAGCCCACUCUCAGUGACAUACCUCCCCCUAGACGCCCACACCUCCUAAUCCUUCCUAACAGCCCAUCAACUGGGAACCAGUUGCUGAAGAGGCUUUGUAGAAAUUAACGUUCAUCCUAUCUCUGGGCAUCCACCAUUUGACUUUUAUUUUUCUUAUAAAUGAGAGGAGAGGUAGCUCAGUGAGUUAAAAGCAGUUGUUGUUUACAAUUGUAAAUACAUGAGCAUAACCUUGUCGCUGAAAAACAAAACAAAUUAAAAGCUCUUCAAA